Molecule: long non-coding RNA, 2696 nt
Organism: Alligator mississippiensis (American alligator)
Lineage: Eukaryota; Metazoa; Chordata; Crocodylia; Alligatoridae
Exons: 2
Source: RefSeq, a predicted model, not a curated record
UGGAGGAGAGGGAGGUAGCAGGAGGUAGGAACUCUGAGAUACUGGUUGGGGUUUGCUGCCUAGCUGGAGCUGGACAGGGAGGAGUGGAACAGAGGUCUUUGGGGGGAGCUGGGCUGAGCCCAUGAGGAGGGGCAGAUCCAUUUGACCCCUACCCACCUUCAAAUCAGACCGGACAAAGCAGAUAGAGGGAAGUGAGCAGCACUGAGCGGGACAGCCUGACAGCUCACUGGUGAAGAAGGGGUCAGAUGAAGUCCUGCCUCCCAUUCAAUCUCUGUGGCUCAGUAUUCACCAAGUGUUCACAACCACAGCUCCUUGGCUUGUAUCAGUGCCUGGGAUUACCAAGCAGUCUUUCAUGGAGGUAAUCACCAGGCCUAAAAUGGCUUUGUUCUCAAAAUCAGGUGGAUUCCAUCCAGCAGGAUUUUCCAUGGAGUGACUCAGAGAUAUCAAUAUUUUCCACAAGUUCCUUGCGAGAAAAGGAAGUACUAAAAUCUCAAGGAUACAAUUGGAGGAACUAACACAGAGAAAAACUGACUUGCUCAUGCACAGGAUGUUUGUGGAUUGACCAGGAACUGAACCCCAGGCUUUAGACAUGAAUUUAGCCCUACCUUCCUGCAGAUCAUUAUUGUAAGCCUCUAGUUUUGACCCUAAACCCACUGCAGAAGUCACAGAUAUGCUCUCACCGGGCAGAAGGUUCAUUUUAGAAAUAAAUAGUGUACUAAAAUUAAUAAAAUCUCUGAUUAUUAUAUAUGCAGGGUGAUAAGGACCCAUUCAAUGAUACUGGUAUGAUCUGUUAAAAACAGUUGGUGAUUUUACUUCUAGCCAAGCUGCUUAGAGAGAACAAAGUAAAUAAAAUAAAAUUAGGAUGGAUUUUGACUUAGGACUGUUAACCAAUAUAGAUCAAGCAUGUUUUAUACUUUAUAUAACCAUGAACCGGUCUCAGAUAUCGUCUUACUUAUAUUAAGGUGAUACCUACAUGAUGACGAUUUUGGAGUGUGGAUACACAUUACAAUUGAACUGUUUCAAGGUUGUCACUGAUUGGGAGCUGGUUUGCAAUUGCUGAGGUUCAGAGUUACUAAUACGUACAGUGCUAAAGGUUUUACGGAGACUUUGCUUGGCUGGAUGGGGCCGUGGACUAUCUGAACCCUUGCUUCUCCAUUCCCAGGGGUGUAGGGAUUCUGGGGUCUGCCCAAGGUCUCUGCCUCAGGCUGCAGUUUUCCAAAGAGUUUCUUUAGGAAGCUGGUUAAUUCAUUUAAAUUCACCAGACCUCCUACUAUGAGGCUGGCUGGUGUGUGGCUGUGUCUUUAGUGGUCUGUACCUGCACAAUGGGUACUUAAUAUGACAGAAUGCUAUCCAUCCAUGCUGGUCAAAGUGAAUUGACCCAUUAACCAUUAAUUGUUUCUUGUUCAGAAGCAAGGUCACCCUUCCCACCUAUCUGAGAAGUGAGCAGUACCAGGGUAACCAGGAUGCAGGCUUGGGGUAGAGGGUGGGACUGAAGAGCAUUUCAUUGUGGGAUGCCUAGAGGACUUGUCAGACAUGAGUCAUGGAAGGGCUGGUGUCCUCAUAAAACAUUGAAGUGCUUCACAACAAAUGGGUUCAAAUUUACACCUAAUUAUCCAGAUAUGCUUUUGAAAUGUUCUAGACAGUUUAUUUUAAACUGACUUGUACAUCUGACCACUUGUGGUUUUAAACUACAUUUAAAAUAAUCUAAGUGUUAGGUGUGUCUGCAUGUUGCUUAAAAUAAGUAAAAUGUAUCUGACCUUGAUGUCAUGGUCCUAUGUUGAGAAACUGUAUACAUGUCCCUUAGUACCAUGUUUAGCAUCAUAUUGGGAAGACAGAAUAAGAUGAAUGACCUCAUAAAUGCCCAUCACACCUUCCCCCUGUACCAGGGUUUGCUCAGUACAGACUUCCUUAAGCUUUGCUGGGUUUCCAGAAUGUUUUCUUUAAAACAAGAUAAGAAACUGGUAAAAACUGGUCUGUAAGGUUUUGAUUAAUAAAUGGAAUAUGCUAUUUGUCUUUUUCUUUUAAACUAGCUGGGUAUAAAUAUGCUCAAGCUGUGUUGAGUUGGCUCCAACCCAUAGCUACUGCUGAUGUGUCCUUCCUUUUGGAUUAGAAAUACGUGAUUUUGUUUUGCCAAUUGAUUAUAAUCAAUAACAGAAUUGAACUUGGUCCCUUUGGUCUCUUGAGUCAUUUCUUAAAGAUUAACUUUUAUGACAGAUAUUUGCUCAAGGACACUUAAUCCUAAUGACAGCCUGGGAUGACCUUCAGUAGGAGACAUGAGAGACAGCUACACACCUUAAAGAUCAGCUACUCCCCUCACACUGAAGCAAAGGGAUAUAAUUAAAACCCUUCAGGGGUAGGGAGAAAGUGCUAGGGAGGAGACUGAUUUGAAAAAUCAAGGUCAUGCAGGUAUUCAUGUAUGUGAAUAAAGGCAAUAAUAGAUGUCUACCUACCUGUCUAUAGUCUACUGUACCUAUGAUCAUGUUAUCAUAUGUGAUACAUAUUAUUACAAGUUAUCACUUGUGAUGUGUCAAAAGUUAGCAUUUAUUUCACUUGUGAUAGAAUGGAAUAGGAAUAAAAUAGCAUAUAAUUGUUCAUAUACUGGCGUGUUUGUAUUAUGUAUGUGCUGGCAUGCUACCUUUUUUAUUAGUGCAUUAGUCAUCUCAUAGAACAAUAAUAAUAAAAGAAUCUGAAAUGCA